UACGAAGGUGGCGAGCGUUGUUCGGAAUCACUGGGCUUAAAGCGCGCGCAGGCGGAGUGGACAGUGUCCUGUGAAAUCCCCCGGCUUAACCGGGGAAUUGCGGGGCAUACUACCACUCUUGAGGCAAGUAGGGGUGCAUGGAACUCUUGGUGGAGCGGUGGAAUGCGUAGAUAUCAAGAGGAACGCCGAUGGUGAAAACAGUGCACUGGGCUUGUUCUGACGCUGAGGCGCGAAAGCGUGGGGAGCGAAAGGGAUUAGAUACCCCCGUA
Molecule: ribosomal RNA, 269 nt
Filed under: uncultured prokaryote
Description: partial 16S ribosomal RNA
Rfam family: Bacterial small subunit ribosomal RNA
Source: RNAcentral